ACACUGUUAUCACCAAAUACUACUAUCGCCUUUCCCUACCCGUCGACCCUCUUCACAUACCUACACACAUAAACUUAUACAUAUACCUACAAACACACACACACAUACCUACAUCCGUAUAUGCAUAUACACACACAUAUCUUCCGCCGUCUAUAAUAUACAUAUAGCCGAUCCCUCUCCGAGAACGAAAAAAAUGUAUACACACAUAUAUAUAUAUUGACAGCAGCACGCAUUGUGUUUCUUGCCUAUAAGAUCCUGUACGAUCCUGUAUGAGUUGGUCUCUUAGCCCCACACCAAAUUUGUAUAUAUUUGAUCUCGUUAAACUACUUUUAUGUGGACGCCUAAAUCAUUAUCCG
This is a non-coding RNA of Cinara cedri, 356 nucleotides long. NCBI's taxonomy places the organism in Eukaryota, Metazoa, Arthropoda, Insecta, Hemiptera, Aphididae. The record is from the annotation of a GenBank genome assembly.